Molecule: long non-coding RNA, 847 nt
Organism: Magnolia sinica
Lineage: Eukaryota; Viridiplantae; Streptophyta; Magnoliopsida; Magnoliales; Magnoliaceae
Exons: 7
Source: RefSeq, a predicted model, not a curated record
CAGGAUGGACCCCUGAACUAGUGUUGAUCUACAUGACAGUCCAUAAAUGUGAGUGAGCUGCAUCAUUCUUCCAUGAAGCUUUCCUCUCCUCCCACUCAUAACAGUAAAGGCAAAAUGAACAAUGCGAAAGGUUUCAGUCUGCUCCUAAAAUUCCUUUUUCUUUCACAAUUAACUUCUUGGUCAGUUAUCAUUUGCAAAAUAUCAAAAGUUGAUAAUACAAGGAAUUCUAAGUGGACUUGCUCAUGUGUGGUGGAUCUAGGUUGGUCGUAGCUCGCCUGCCAACUUACAGUAUAUGUUAUAGACCCGGGCAUUCAUCUGCUGAUGAUAGGCAAAAACUAUGACAUGAUGUUUGUGAGCUACAUCAGGCAUCCAUCUCUCUGUUCUAAUAUUAAAGGAAUGGGCCAAAAGAGGGAAGCAAUGAUUGACUGUGGACAGCCAGCGUCCCCACGAUGGAAAAUGACCAUAUAAAGAUCUUUCUACAUUGAAGAAAACUCUCUUGAGUUGCAUUGGUGUUGAUAUAUCAUCAUGCAGGAACUGGACACAUAGAAUUCCUAAGAUAAGAAGCAACAAUAGCUGGUGAAUGCCAACACUAAGGAUAGAAGCAUCUAUGAACAAGAAUGACGAAAUUCUGAAAAUAAGAUCUAGAUUGUGCUUUGUUAACCAUCAGGAGUAUACAUGUGUUGGAUUUGCGAAAUCGGUUACAGCUUUUGCAAGAAAUGGUCACAGAUGAGAAGUAUAGAUUGAGCUGUUGAACCAUCUCAGGAAAUGUCAAUAGUGCAGCCCAAUUCAGAGUAAUGGGUGAAUCUCUGAUGAAAUCUCUUCAUUCACAUCGAGAACACUAGGUAAU